GAUGAACGCUGGCGGCGUGCCUAAUACAUGCAAGUCGAGCGAACAGACGAGGAGCUUGCUCCUCUGACGUUAGCGGCGGACGGGUGAGUAACACGUGGAUAACCUACCUAUAAGACUGGGAUAACUUCGGGAAACCGGAGCUAAUACCGGAUAAUAUAUUGAACCGCACGGUUCAAUAGUGAAAGACGGUUUUGCUGUCACUUAUAGAUGGAUCCGCGCCGCAUUAGCUAGUUGGUAAGGUAACGGCUUACCAAGGCAACGAUGCGUAGCCGACCUGAGAGGGUGAUCGGCCACACUGUAUCUGAGACACGUUCCAGACUCCUACGGGAGGCAGCAGUAGGGAAUCUUCCGCGAUGGGCGAAAGCCUGACGGAGCAACGCCGCGUGAGUGAUGAAGGUCUUCGGAUGGUAAAACUCUGUUAUUAGGGAAGAACAAAUGUGUAAGUACCUAUGCACGUCUUGACGGUACCUAAUCAGAAAGCCACGGCUAACUACGUG
RNAcentral lists this ribosomal RNA (497 nucleotides) under uncultured bacterium. RNAcentral's name for it is "partial 16S ribosomal RNA". It matches the Rfam family "Bacterial small subunit ribosomal RNA", at positions 28 to 507 of the family's 1533-position model. The record is from RNAcentral.